This 497-nucleotide ribosomal RNA is filed under the name uncultured bacterium. RNAcentral's name for it is "partial 16S ribosomal RNA". It matches the Rfam family "Bacterial small subunit ribosomal RNA", at positions 28 to 507 of the family's 1533-position model. The record is from RNAcentral.
GAUGAACGCUGGCGGCGUGCCUAAUACAUGCAAGUCGAGCGAACAGACGAGGAGCUUGCUCCUCUGACGUUAGCGGCGGACGGGUGAGUAACACGUGGAUAACCUACCUAUAAGACUGGGAUAACUUCGGGAAACCGGAGCUAAUACCGGAUAAUAUAUUGAACCGCAUGGUUCAAUAGUGAAAGACGGUUUUGCUGUCACUUAUAGAUGGAUCCGCGCCGCAUUAGCUAGUUGGUAAGGUAACGGCUUACCAAGGCAACGAGGCGUAGCCGACCUGAGAGGGUGAUCGGCCACACUGGAACUGAGACACGGUCCAGACUCCUACGGGAGGCAGCAGUAGGGAAUCUUCCGCAAUGGGCGAAAGCCUGACGGAGCAACGCCGCGUGAGUGAUGAAGGUCUUCGGAUCGUAAAACUCUGUUAUUAGGGAAGAACAACUGUGUAAGUAACUAUGCACGUCUUGACGGUACCUAAUCAGAAAGCAACGGCUAACUACGUG